UACGAAGGGGGCUAGCGUUGUUCGGAAUUACUGGGCGUAAAGCGUGCGCAGGCGGCUUUCCAAGUCAGUGGUGAAAGCCCGGAGCUCAACUCCGGAAAUGCCAUUGGAACUGUGAAGCUCGAGAACGAGAGAGGUGAGUGGAAUUCCCAGUGUAGAGGUGAAAUUCGUAGAUAUUGGGAAGAACACCAGUGGCGAAGGCGGCUCACUGGCUCGUAACUGACGCUCAUGCACGACAGCGUGGGGAUCAAACAGG
This 253-nucleotide ribosomal RNA is filed under the name uncultured bacterium. RNAcentral's name for it is "partial 16S ribosomal RNA". It matches the Rfam family "Bacterial small subunit ribosomal RNA", at positions 524 to 776 of the family's 1533-position model. The record is from RNAcentral.